GCUCAGUUGGUAGAGCAUGGUGUUUGCAAUGCCAGGGUUGUGGGUUCGAUUCCCAC
Salmo salar (Atlantic salmon) is the source of this 56-nucleotide non-coding RNA. The record is from Rfam. Lineage: Eukaryota; Metazoa; Chordata; Actinopteri; Salmoniformes; Salmonidae.